Molecule: ribosomal RNA, 651 nt
Filed under: Triticum aestivum (bread wheat)
Lineage: Eukaryota; Viridiplantae; Streptophyta; Magnoliopsida; Poales; Poaceae
Description: partial small subunit ribosomal RNA
Source: RNAcentral
AUGCGCUGGCAAGCAACCAGCGGCCGCUUAUGCCUUUGCGCGCGAGAUCGAUCCACUACGGCGCCACUUACUUCUUCUUCCUUCCCUCCCCUCCUCUUCUGGUGCGACCACUGCCGUGCGAAGCUGAGCUUUCCCCAAAUUGAAGCUCCGUCAGCUCUUUACACGGGACAUCGGAGAUGCGGGCCACCAUAUAUCUCCGCUUCCUCAGACGAGCUCGCCGCACCCGCACUCAUCAUGGCGCAGACCCAUAUCCUGCUCUUCCUCGUCCUGGCCGCCGGCGCGGCGACGGCCGCCCGCCCCGCUGCUCCACCGCUGCCCGCCGCCAACUCGACCGGCCUGCUGAUUCCUCAGUCGGCGACCGGCGACGACGAGGUUAGCCAGGUGAUCGCUCCACCCCCGCCGCCGCCGCCACCGACCCCGCCGACGACAUCACCGCCCGCGCCGCCGCCGCCCGCUGCGCCGCGGCAGACCCUCCUCCACCGCGUCGCCGUGGCGAUGGAGUUCAUCGCGGCAGCGGCGCUCGUCGCCCUCGGCGUCACCGUGGCGUGCUGCUGCUGGCGCCGCCGCCGUGUCGCGCAGGAGCCGCCGCCGCCGGUGCCGGUUCGCCGCUCGGAGAUCGUCGUGCAGAUGAACCCUAUCUCGGUUCGUUAA